RNAcentral lists this transfer RNA (87 nucleotides) under Parcubacteria group bacterium 37-58-5. RNAcentral's name for it is "tRNA-Ser". It matches the Rfam family "tRNA". Rfam says of the family: Transfer RNA (tRNA) molecules are approximately 80 nucleotides in length. Their secondary structure includes four short double-helical elements and three loops (D, anti-codon, and T loops). Further hydrogen bonds mediate the characteristic L-shaped molecular structure. tRNAs have two regions of fundamental functional importance: the anti-codon, which is responsible for specific mRNA codon recognition, and the 3' end, to which the tRNAs corresponding amino acid is attached (by aminoacyl-tRNA synthetases). tRNAs cope with the degeneracy of the genetic code in two manners: having more than one tRNA (with a specific anti-codon) for a particular amino acid; and 'wobble' base-pairing, i.e. permitting non-standard base-pairing at the 3rd anti-codon position. The record is from RNAcentral. RNAcentral also lists the same sequence under 1 other name.
GGAGAGGUGGCAGAGUGGUCGAAUGCACUGGUUUCGAAAACCAGCAGGGGCGAAAGCUCCUCGUGGGUUCAAAUCCCACCCUCUCCG